Molecule: ribosomal RNA, 501 nt
Filed under: uncultured bacterium
Lineage: Bacteria
Description: partial 16S ribosomal RNA
Rfam family: Bacterial small subunit ribosomal RNA
Source: RNAcentral
AUUGAACGCUGGCGGCAGGCUUAACACAUGCAAGUCGAGCGGGGGAAGGUAGCUUGCUACCGGACCUAGCGGCGGACGGGUGAGUAAUGCUUAGGAAUCUGCCUAUUAGCGGGGGACAACAUCUCGAAAGGGAUGCUAAUACCGCAUACGUCCUACGGGAGAAAGCAGGGGAUCUUCGGACCGUGCGCUAAUAGAUGAGCCUAAGUCGGAUUAGCUAGUUGGUGGGGUAAAGGCCUACCAAGGCGACGAUCUGUAGCGGGUCUGAGAGGAUGAUCCGCCACACUGGGACGGGGACACGGCCCAGACUUCUACGGGAGGCAGCAGUGGGGAAUAUUGGACGAUGGGGGGAACCCUGAUCCAGCCAUGCCGCGUGUGUGAAGAAGGCCUUAUGGUUGUAAAGCACUUUAAGCGAGGAGGAGGCUACUCUAGUUAAUACCUAGAGAUAGUGGACGUUACUCGCAGAAUAAGCACCGGCUAACUCUGUGCCAGCCGCCGCCGUAA